This 267-nucleotide ribosomal RNA is filed under the name uncultured bacterium. Its description in RNAcentral is "partial 16S ribosomal RNA". It matches the Rfam family "Bacterial small subunit ribosomal RNA", at positions 524 to 787 of the family's 1533-position model. The record is from RNAcentral.
UACGGGGGGGGGCGAGCGUUGUUCGGAAUCACUGGGCGUAAAGGGCGCGUAGGCGGCCCGCACAAGUCUGCGGUGAAAACCCCCGGCUUAACCGGGGGCCGGCCGUGGAAACUGUCGGGCUGGAGGCUGGGAGAGGGCAGCGGAAUUCCCGGUGUAGCGGUGAAAUGCGUAGAGAUCGGGAGGAACACCGGCGGCGAAGGCGGCUGCCUGGACCAGUCCUGACGCUGAGGCGCGAAAGCUAGGGGAGCAAACAGGAUUAAGAAACCC